Long non-coding RNA from Homo sapiens (human), 784 nucleotides. RefSeq lists it as uncharacterized. Lineage: Eukaryota; Metazoa; Chordata; Mammalia; Primates; Hominidae. The transcript is spliced from 2 exons. The record is from RefSeq and is a predicted model, not a curated record.
CAAAGGCCAAGGAGGCGCCGAGAGCAAGGAGCAAGCGAGGGCUGAGGGCUGCCAGCAAGCUGUCACCUCUCAAAGCAGUGUGAUGGAGGCAGCAAAAUGUGUGGAACCGUCAUUAUGAAGAAGGCAAUGCUCUCCUGCACCAGGGAGCUCUUCACCCCACAACUACAGAGCUCCUGUCUUCCAAGGUUCCCGAACUGUUCUGGGAAGUGCUCCUAAUCACCUGAGGUUUACAUACAAACAACCCCAGGACAUUUCAUUUAGCUACCAAUGUCAUGAUUACCAAAAAUUAAUUAACAAUAUGGUGGUCGUCAUCACAUCUGAGUCACCAAAUCAAAAUUCAGGACACAUUUCCAUGCAAAGUGCAGCCUUCUUCUUACGUUUCAUAAUUGUCAUUUCAAAUGAGAUCUUGGUUGGAAACAAUUGCUUAACUGUUUCAAGGUAUACUGGGUUAUCACUAACUCAUUUCUGUAAAGCAGAAUACAAGACCUCAACCUGUUAGAGAUCCUUUGUUGAUUAACAAGCUGAUUAAUAAGCUGAUUGUUCUCCUGAUUUAAGGCCUAUACCAAAAUUCUUGAAGCUCAAUUUGCACCACAGAGUACGCCAAUAUGUUUGAGUGAACUGGCUCUGGCUCUCCGAAGCUGUUUUGUAAAGACAAGAGACUAUAAGCCAUGGUGAGUAGUUAUACAUGAAGAACCUCAAUUAAUGCCUUACAUAUGGCAUGAGGAGACUAGAAAUUUUCUUGUUAAUGGGGCAGGGGUAUAAUAAUAAAUAUCUUGGCAAAUGA